AGAACGAACGCUGGCGGCAUGCCUAAUACAUGCAAGUCGAACGAAGGCUUCGGCCUUAGUGGCGCACGGGUGCGUAACGCGUGGGAAUCUGCCCCUUGGUUCGGAAUAACAGUUGGAAACGACUGCUAAUACCGGAUGAUGACGAAAGUCCAAAGAUUUAUCGCCAAGGGAUGAGCCCGCGUAGGAUUAGCUAGUUGGUGAGGUAAAGGCUCACCAAGGCGACGAUCCUUAGCUGGUCUGAGAGGAUGAUCAGCCACACUGGGACUGAGACACGGCCCAGACUCCUACGGGAGCAGCAGUAGGGAAUAUGGACAAUGGGCGCAAGCCUGAUCCAGCAAUGCCGCGUGAGUGAUGAAGGCCUUAGGGUUGUAAGCUCGUUUACCGAGAUGAUAAUGACUAGUAUACGGAGAAGUAACGACCCGGACUAACUCCGCGACCACGCGACGCCGAC
This 451-nucleotide ribosomal RNA is filed under the name uncultured soil bacterium. RNAcentral's name for it is "bacterial SSU rRNA". It matches the Rfam family "Bacterial small subunit ribosomal RNA", at positions 26 to 522 of the family's 1533-position model. The record is from RNAcentral.